Molecule: ribosomal RNA, 434 nt
Filed under: uncultured bacterium
Lineage: Bacteria
Description: partial 16S ribosomal RNA
Rfam family: Bacterial small subunit ribosomal RNA
Source: RNAcentral
AGCGAACGCUGGCGGCAGGCCUAACACAUGCAAGUCGAACGAACCUUUCGGGGUUAGUGGCGGACGGGUGAGUAACACGUGGGAACGUGCCUUUAGGUUCGGAAUAACUCAGGGAAACUUGUGCUAAUACCGAAUGUGCCCUUCGGGGGAAAGAUUUAUCGCCUUUAGAGCGGCCCGCGUCUGAUUAGCUAGUUGGUUGGGGUAAUGGCUCACCAAGGCGACGAUCAGUAGCUGGUCUGAGAGGAUGAUCAGCCACAUUGGGACUGAGACACGGCCCAAACUCCUACGGGAAGCAGCAGUGGGGAAUCUUGCGCAAUGGGCGAAAGCCUGACGCAGCCAUGCCGCGUGAAUGAUGAAGGUCUUAGGAUUGUAAAAUUCUUUCACCGGGGACGAUAAUGACGGUACCCGGAGAAGAAGCCCCGGCUAACUUCGUG